GUGCACAUUUUGUUGACCUGCUUUCUCUUGCGUAUGUGAGCAGUGUUAUUUCUUAUGUGCAGGAGAAAUAGUUAAAGGUUAAUUAGCAAUAUAAUGAAAUAGUAAUACUGCCAGCCCCCUUCAAACAGAA
Small nucleolar RNA from Vulpes vulpes (red fox), 130 nucleotides. Lineage: Eukaryota; Metazoa; Chordata; Mammalia; Carnivora; Canidae. The record is from Ensembl.